This is a transfer RNA of Enterocytozoon bieneusi H348, 82 nucleotides long. It matches the Rfam family "tRNA". Rfam says of the family: Transfer RNA (tRNA) molecules are approximately 80 nucleotides in length. Their secondary structure includes four short double-helical elements and three loops (D, anti-codon, and T loops). The record is from Rfam. Lineage: Eukaryota; Fungi; Microsporidia; Enterocytozoonidae.
GGUGUCGUGGCCGAGUGGUUAUGGCGGCAGUCUAGAAAGCUGCUAGGCUUGUCCUGCACAGGUUCGAAUCCUGUCGACAUCG